CUAUGCUGAUGUCUAAAAAAAAGAAGAAAAAAAAAAACCAGAAUGAGCGUAACUACUCCGCCACUAUGAUUUCGAAAACUGUUUCCAUAUUUGCUUAAACAGUGCAUAUAAAUCAGAAAAUUGUUCUUUCUCAAUAACUCAGUGAGGGAGAGCGAUCAGAACUCAGUGUAACUAACUUUCACUCUGCCCUCCACUCCUGUUUCUGCACUGCAUUUAAGUGUUAGAAAAAUGUUCCAUCAGCGGUUUUGGGUUACAUUUCCUAUGGUGUCUUAUGUUUUUCACUACCUCCGUCUGGAUGAUUGUCCGACUGGAUCUUCUUAAUGAAGAGCUCGGCUUCGUCGGCGCUAUUGAAGAUGUGUGAGCGCUCUUUGUAGGUAACAAUAAGCCGGGCAGGAGGGAUCAUACCGUACCGGAGCCCCAGUGAACGUAGUUGUCUCCUCGCCUCCUCAAACUCUUUCAGUUUCUUGUGCGUCUCUGCGGUCACGUCUUGGUAGAAUCUCACCGGGUCAUUUUUGUCGAGGACUUGCUUUUUUGCCCUGGCCGCUCUCAUCACCGCUUCUUUGUCUUUGUAAUUCAGGAACUUCAUAAUGAGGGUUCUAGGUGCAGAGUCAGUCUUGUGUUGUCUUCUUGGUCCAAGCCUGUGAGCUCUUUCCACCGUAAUUUUCCCCCGCAGCGUCUGCAGCUCCAGCGCCUCCGGUAUCCAGCUCUCCAGGAAUCCACAGGUGUCUUCACCUUCCGCGCCUUCGGGUAGAUUAACAAGCCGUACGUUGGAGCGGCGUGAACGAGCCUCCAGGGUUAUUUAGAGAAUAGCUAUGGCCCGGUCCAGUCAGCAGCCUCAGUACAGCUGUAGUAACCCAGAGCAGUCAGCUCCCCCUGCACAGGAUGCUGACCGGCCACACCCAGAAGAGGAGGAGAUAGUGAGAGAUGAGUGUGAUUCAGCAGUGUCUGGAGCUCCACCUGCUGAGCAUGACAUUUCUCAAACCAGAGCUGCAGGCCCUGCUCGCCCUCCCUCGUACUCAGCACGGACAGGGUAGAACCAGUGUCCAUGCCAGAAGAAAAUCUUAAAAAAAAAAAAAGAUGCUGUUUGAAACCAUCCCCAUGUUCACUGGAGGAACCUGCAACCCUCAGUUCAUGGUGUACCAGCUGAAGAUGAAGAUCCACACGUCGAACCCGAGAAGACAAGCUGAUGCUGUUUGAGUUCCCGCAGCCGCUUCCUGUUUGUGGAGACAUCAUGGUGGAGUCCUUCCACAAGUAGAACAAGAUGAUGAGGACGGUGAAGCUGUACUUCACUAAGACGGUAGAAGAAUUAGCUAACUGUGACGCCAGCAGCACGUUGGCCUCUGUGACACUGAACGUUAGCGACACCUGAGAGGGAGUGAGGGAGAGACGGAGGGAGAGAGAGAGAGACACAGACAGCAGGUCAUUACUGUACCUGCACACAUGACAAGACUACAGGUUGUUCCUGCACCUGUGAUGGAGCCGCUCAUACACAUUCAAGGACAAGAGCCACUCACUGCCUCCAUGUUGGCUGCAGCUCCACUCAUGGAUCAAUAACAGCUUCUUGGGGAGCGACUGUACCCAAUGAUUCAGGCCCUUCAGCCAAAUUUGGCUGGUAAAAUUACUGGGAUACUGCUGGAGAUUGACAACUGGGAGCUGCUGUACAUGCUGAAGGCUGCUGAAGAGAUAUUUGAGCUGUUUGAAAGAACGAUAGCAGAGCAGAGCAUAUGACUGUGAGUGUUACUGUGAUCUUUUGGUCUGCAUUGGUAAAUUUCACCCUGAUAUUUUAGUCAUUAACUCUACUAAUUCAUGUGAAACCCUGAGUGGCUUGGCAGGGCAAAACUAGGGCAACAGUGGGUGAUUGCGGUAAAGGAGCACAAGACAGCAGCACAGCAAGUGGCUGCCUUUGCCCCAUCAGAGGAGGAGGUGCAUGUAAGUUCAUCACAUUUCCUGUCAGAACCUGUCAGAACAUUAACCUUAAUUUUUUCUCCUCUGCCAACAGUGGUUUGAUGUCUCCUACAGACUGGUGCAGCCACAACUCCUGAGACCCACCAGGAAUUGCAAGAGGGAUGUGAAAUGGAAACAUUUGAACAGUUGUGAUAAUCUGGGCCUACCUGCUGCACCGGGACAAGUUCCAGGAGGCGCUGGGCUUCUACAGAGAGGUCCUGACACGAGACAAGAAGUGUGUGACCAUCCCCAGUCAGCGGCACUGUGUCAUCUACUACAGCUUCCUGCUGAGGAACCAGCUGCUGUACAAACCCGUCGCUCUGCUCUUCCACAAGAUGCUGUUUGAAACCAUCCCCAUGUUUACUGGAGGAACCUGCAAACCCUGCAAGUCCUGCCACAAGAUGAACAAGAUAAUGAAGAAGAUGAAGUGGAGGACAAGCUCAAAGGUGCAGGCACUGAUGGGAAACCUCCUCAGGCCGCGAUGUGAAGUUCAUUGUGAAAGACUCAGUAGAGGAGAAGAUGGUGGAGAUCCAGAGGGGGAAGCAGGACCUGGUGGAGAAGGCUUUUGGCUCCAAGAACAAUGACAGGAAAACAUCUUGCAUCAAUGACAUCAAGGCUCUGAUGGAGCUAUAGAUGUCUGACAAUGGGCCUGAGCUAAUGUGUCAACAGUGCAACAAGACAAACCUUGAACCAUUACAACAGUUGACUGUGUUCUCUAUUGUUGUCUCAGUUCAUAUCUGAGAGUUUUUGCACACAUUGUUAAUGUUUGCUUCCUACUUUGAAUUUGAUAUUUUGCUUUCAUAGUUUAUAAUUUUUGUUCUAUUUUGAUUCCAGCUGUUUUAUUAAAAUUUUGAUAAGUAGUUUUGUAAGUUUAAUUGUUCUAAGUAGUUGCCAUUAUUUGUUUUGCUUUUAGUCCAGACAUAUAUUUAUGGAUCGCCAACACAUUCAGCACACAAACGAGUGCUUUGGCAGUAUGUACAGUGUUACCUCAUGCCAAUAAAGCCAGUUGAAUUGAGAGAGAGA
RNA transcript from Acanthopagrus latus (yellowfin seabream), 2967 nucleotides. RefSeq lists it as uncharacterized. NCBI's taxonomy places the organism in Eukaryota, Metazoa, Chordata, Actinopteri, Spariformes, Sparidae. The record is from RefSeq and is a predicted model, not a curated record. The transcript has 5 exons.